Molecule: long non-coding RNA, 723 nt
Organism: Mobula hypostoma (lesser devil ray)
Lineage: Eukaryota; Metazoa; Chordata; Chondrichthyes; Myliobatiformes; Myliobatidae
Exons: 3
Source: RefSeq, a predicted model, not a curated record
GUAAACACUCUUCCAAGGAGACAGCUUCUUUCAGUGUGCUACAAGCCAGAGUGAUCUGGUAUAUCUCAGCCACAUUCUUAUUGGAGAAAGGCUAAUUUGUCAUCCAUUAUCACUCUGACAAGUUAAUAAGGUUUAUGUCAGCAUUUGGACAAGAUGAAGGCCUAACUGUACAUUCCCUGGAAAGUUCAAUCAUUUGGAUUCAAUUUAUAUGUCUGCUUUGUUAACAAGGGACUAUCUUAUGCAACCUUUGAAUGAAGUUCCUUGUAUCCAGGACUUGAAGACAGACAAUAUCAGACCGACAGAGACUGCCAACUAGCCUGAAGCUGCCAGUACUACUGGAUCUCAAUGCUGCCCGGCUUGCUGCGUGUUGUUCUCAUUUCCUGUUCUACACCUAUGUGGGUUCAGCUUAGCCCAGACUGCUGAGGAGAUCUGUGGAUGAGAGAUACAGUACCUGCUUAUCCUUCAUCUUGAGUACCAACGUGCAUCAGGAGGAUAUUCGGCGGGCAAUGAUCAAGCCUUUCUGUCUUGGUGUGGAGUUGAGCUCAACACUUUGGAGAGGAGCAAAGGACUAGUUAAGAGUUCAGUCUGCUUUUCUCCAAUCUCAAUAACCCAUGUUAAUUUCCCCAAACUUUCAAUGAAAUUAGUAUGCAGUUGUUCACAGUCCAUAUAACUUGCUUACAUUUUCUCUUUAAUUAACUAAUCUGGUUAAUUUUCUGAUCCACG